Monodelphis domestica (gray short-tailed opossum) is the source of this 3691-nucleotide long non-coding RNA. The record is from Ensembl. Lineage: Eukaryota; Metazoa; Chordata; Mammalia; Didelphimorphia; Didelphidae.
AUGAGAGCAGGUCUUGACUUCCGGCGUGGCUCGCAGGGAAUUAACGGGAAGAGCGGAGCUUGUGUGGGAGCCCCGCCCCGAAGGGCCCUGGAGAAGAAGCUUUGUCGAGGGCCAUCUAACCGUGGACGCCGUCCAGUUCUUUUUGGAGCCUGUUCUUGUGGAAGGGCACAGACUAGCCAUCUUUUAUGUCCACUCUGGGCUCUGACGCGUGACUUCUGGACGUUGCCAGCACCCUGCUCCUCUUUUAGGUGUUGCCUUCCCCAUCCCUAGAGGCCCGGAUGCUUUUCCUAUUUGCUUCUCUUUCUGCCCCCAACACGCAAGCACAGACAACACCCGAUGGUCCCUGAGAAGCACUUCAUAAAUGCUUCACUUCACUGCCCGGGGUACCAAGAAGAUAAGGGACUUUCUCCAGGCCCCGCAGCCAGGAUGUGUCCGGCACAUUUGAACCCAGAUAGGCAGAUGACACACUAACCUAGUUAGUGCCCCUUUGAGGGCCUGUAGUUACCUGCUCUUGCCACCAGGGGCUCUCCUGCAGAGACAACAUAAAAACUAUGGACUUGACAGCGCUUGACCAUUCAGUGAGGGAUGGAGUCACGAGUAAAAGGGGCUUGAGGGUGACCAGGUUAUGAUUUUAAGGUUGUCUUUUCUUUUCCAGGGAAAGCAGAAGUGUUGGGAGGAGGUUCAAAAUCCAAUGUUACCAAGUAGUAAGGGUGGAAUCUGAGGACCUGGGUUCAAAUCCAACUUUGUGAUUUGGGGCAAGUAAAGUAAAUCUCUUUGGGCCUUAGUUUUUCUUCACUCUAAAAAUGCUUGUACUUCCCCCAAACAGAGUUAACUUAAACGUCCUGAGAGAGUUUGAGAUACAGCUAAUAAGGGUGGUCUUUGAUUGGCGUGAGUGGAAAAUACCCCAGUAAGAUCUAUACGAAAUCAACACCAAGUGACAACUUCCCUCAAGGUGGGUGGUAGGGCACUAAAAGCAAUGGGAAAUUAGCACAAGGCCCUGCUUGGGAGCAUAUCGGAUUGUCUGCAUGCACACUGUGAAGGAAGGGAGCCCGGUGGGGGUAUGGCAGAAUAGUAGAUGAGGCUCUACUGGAGACAGGCCCACAACUGAGAUGCCAGCCACCUUUGCAGCUCCCUCCACGCCACCAUAUCAGCUUGGGCACCCAUUGGGUCUGGCCCCUUGACACUAUCUCCAAGGAUCUUGGGGGGUUGUGAAUCUGUGGCACUGGGGGGCAAAGGCCUCUCAAUCCACAAGGUGGCUGUUCACGCUCAGAGCGCAAGGAGCACAAGUCUGGACUAGGGGGAUGACUCCCCAUUCAGAAUGAAUCCUUUCCCAGGCUGGGAAAAGUAAGGACGUCUCUUGGGGGAUCCUGGGAUCUGUUCUUGUAAACAAGAUCCCCGUAAUCCUAUGACCCUAGACUUAGGGCCAGUGCGCCGAACCCCCUCAUUUGAUGGGAAGCUCAUGGUCAGAGAGGACCUGAUCAUGGGCACACGGCUUUCCGAAGUCUUAGGUAGGACUUGACCAGUUUGAAGACAAGCUGCCUACUUGCUAUACAGUUUCUGACAAAAGCAGUCCAAUGAAGUAUUCCAAAUAACUCCAAAGUACUGUGGGUUCUUCCAAAAUUUCCUUCAACCCUAACUACCCUUGAGACAUGGGAACAGGCCAGAAGCUUCUGAAUACCAGGUUACGCAGCAGCCUCUCCUCUCUGGGGGACUAGUUGCCACGAUGCAGUAUACAGAGAGCAGCUGCCCAGCUGGCACCCUGUCCCCCAGUCCAGCCCAGAAAUACCAAGUUUCCUUUCCUUCAGUUGACCCAAGGACUGCCAGGCAGACACAGAGAGCACAGAUGCGGGCUGGUCUGGGGCAUCUCCUGGGGACAAUGGCCCCUACUGAGGGAUACGUGCCCAAGCCUGGCACUGCUGGAACGCUUGUCCACCCCUGCUCACAGGCCCCUGUGUUCUCUAGAGGCAGCAGCCCCACACUGGGAUAGGCACUCCUUAUGAGUGGGGCCCAGCAAGGCUGGACUUGAGGGGAGCCUGGGGGAUGGGGGAGGGCUUCCUACUUUCACUGAUAAGGGGUUAAAAUCCCAAAGAAAAUACAGAUGUGGAUGGGAAGCUUCCAGAGCUGUCCAGGGUCCCAGUUGGUUUGUGUCAGAGGUAGCCUUUCAUCUUUGGAAGAUCCACUCUCCCACCUAGUCAGUGGUGGAAAAUGCCAUGGGAAGGGACUCAUGCUGGAGGUGUAGGUGUACAUGGCAGGAGGGAGGGAGAGAGAGAUGGAGGGGGAGAAACAGGGAGAGCAGGAGGAAGAGAAGGGGAGGGAAGGUAAAGAGAUUGAGAGAAAACACAAGAAUAUGGACAUUCCAUUUAGUAGAGAAGUUAAGAGGGGGAGAUGGUCUCCCCACCUCGAACCCACCCCCAGGUCUCUAAUCUGUCCACAUUCUGUCUUCAUUUACUUUUCUGUGAACAUUUUUUUAUCCUACCGUAGAAGGUAAGCACCUCUUGGACGCAGACUUUUCUGUAUAUUCCCAGCAUGUGGCACACAGUAGGUGCUUCAUAAAUGGGAAUGAGUGGAUUCUGUAGUUGGUGCAGCAAGAUGCAUAGGAAGUUGGAUUAAGACACAGUUCAGGGCUAGGGCAAGGUGAUGGGGCAUUUCUCCCUAUGAUGGCCGCUGAGGUCACACAGAGGAUGUAAGGCAAGGAAGGUAGGCAGCUGCCUCUGCAGGUAGCAAGCUGCUUAUCCUGGAGAGUAUUCCAAUAGAAGCUGGAUGACUUCAUUUGGGGGAGGAGGGUCAUACUUGGGCACUCAGUUCUGGCCUUGCUGGACCAUCUGUUUUUCCCAAACCAAACUGUAAACUGAAAGUAAAACUCAGCAAGUGAACAGACAAAGCAGGGAGACCUGGGGCCAAAGCUAUCGUCAAAUGGACCCCAGUGGGUCUGGAGUUAGAGGGCCCUGGAAGGCUCUGCCUCCUGCCCAGGACACAGAAGAGGAGUGAAUUAGUACUGCAGAGCAGCGGCAGGGUGAUGAGGGAAGUGACUGUCCUCUCUGAGGCUGUGGGACCCAGUCUUUCGCUGUGAAAAUGAGGAAACAAAGAUCACCCACCCAUGCGAGCCAGGAGGGCCAACCCCAUAUUGAUCUGGAAGAUGAGGAAACUGAGGCAUGGAGGUGCCAUGUGCAUGGGCUGCUGAACCAGAAUGUGGACCCAUUUUUUCUGAAACCACUGUUGGUGUCCCUUCUCCCACAGUUACCCUUGAGGUGGCACAGAAAGACAGACUGACCUGGAGCUCCUAGAAGGUAGGAGAGCCCAGGCAUUCCUCAGAGCAGAGCAGGUCUAGGGCCAUGGACUGAGCUCUAAGGUGGGCCAGUAUAUGUGAAGUGGAAGGCCUGGGAUUUGAAUUGUAGCCUUCCCACCCAGAGGACCCUGGCAAAUCCUUGAAGCUCCCUCAGUUUCCUCAUUUUUAAAAUGAGACAUUUGAUGACUCCAGAUUACCAUUACCUCCUGACAGAGGAAUCAAGGUAUUGGACUAAGGAGGCAGGUAAGAACCUCCAUUUGGGACAAAGACAAUCCUGGGCUAGCCUCUGCCUGGUGAUGCCAGCACAGUCACUCCCAGGUUGUGGCCUCCUUUUUUACCUUUUUUUUUUCCCAAUGGGGAAGGACAGUGGGGAAAAUAAAGGCUCAUUCAUUUGAAAAGGUGGCA